GGUUGUGGCUCAGUGGUAGAGCAUUUACCUAGCACGUGUGAGGCACUGGGUUCGAUUCUCAGCACCA
This 67-nucleotide transfer RNA is filed under the name Marmota monax (woodchuck). RNAcentral describes it as "tRNA.Ala". It matches the Rfam family "tRNA". From Rfam's summary of the family: Transfer RNA (tRNA) molecules are approximately 80 nucleotides in length. Their secondary structure includes four short double-helical elements and three loops (D, anti-codon, and T loops). Further hydrogen bonds mediate the characteristic L-shaped molecular structure. tRNAs have two regions of fundamental functional importance: the anti-codon, which is responsible for specific mRNA codon recognition, and the 3' end, to which the tRNAs corresponding amino acid is attached (by aminoacyl-tRNA synthetases). tRNAs cope with the degeneracy of the genetic code in two manners: having more than one tRNA (with a specific anti-codon) for a particular amino acid; and 'wobble' base-pairing, i.e. permitting non-standard base-pairing at the 3rd anti-codon position. Lineage: Eukaryota; Metazoa; Chordata; Mammalia; Rodentia; Sciuridae. The record is from RNAcentral.